UGGAUAUUUUAUAUGAGAUUUAUUCAAGUGACUUACAGACUUUGGUUUGAGUAGUCCAACAAUGGGACUUCUGGAGGGAAAGAAAGAUCAGGAUCUGGUGGUUUGGUUCACUGGCUGUCGCAGCAGUCCAGAUUGGUGUCAGAGGACUGAGAAGAUCUAGAGGGCUGCCCGUUUCCAUCUAGGGUGAAGUCCCACGAAGUAGGCACUAGCACCAGCACAAAGGAUUCCCUCAGGAACAGGACACACGAACUUGUCAGUGAGGGUGAAGGCAAGCAGGCAAAGAGCAAUGGCUUCCUUCUUCCAUGUGGGCUGCCACCAGAUGUGGCCAAGAGAAGCCUUCACAGGAGCUUUGAGGAUUUCUGCUGUUGGCGCCUCCUCCUGGAUGUGGAAAUUGAGUUGCUGAUGUUGGCUUGUUACUGCAUGCAGCCUUAUGUGGGUUCUUCAUAUUUAGACUCCGAGUCUCAAUUGUGUAUCAAGUGCGUUUCCCACUGAGACAUCUCUCUAAGCUACAUAGUCCCCCCUCCCUUUUUUUUUUUUAAAGAAAAGACAGUUAGGGAAACUGGACUGGUAGAGAUGUUUCUACCUGAGCCUCAAGACCUAAGUUCCAGCCCUGCAACCCAAUUGGAAAGAAAGAACCAGCUACAAGGUUUCUCCAUCUUGUCUCAGGUAUAGCUAUCUUUGGUUUCUACCCCUUGCCCUGAAAAGUUCCACAGGAAAGCAUCCAGUCCUGUUCUACAAAUUCAGAGUCAAAAUGUCCCAGAUAACUGCAUGUUCUUAGCUCUCACUGAGCUGCUUGUUUGCUUGCCCCUGCAACUGCUACCAGAAUGCAGUUUUUCUGUGUUCUUUUAAGGUU
Molecule: long non-coding RNA, 853 nt
Filed under: Rattus norvegicus (Norway rat)
Lineage: Eukaryota; Metazoa; Chordata; Mammalia; Rodentia; Muridae
Description: long non-coding RNA NONRATT027476
Source: RNAcentral